UACGUAGGGUGCGAGCGUUAAUCGGAAUUACUGGGCGUAAAGCGUGCGCAGGCGGUUUUGUAAGCCAGAUGUGAAAUCCCCAGGCUCAACCUGGGAACUGCGUCUGAUACUGGAUGGCUUGAAUCCGGGAGAGGGAUGCAGAAUUCCAGGUGUAGCGGUGAAAUGCGUAGAUAUCUGGAGGAAUACCGGUGGCGAAGGCGGCAUCCUGGACCGGCAUUGACGCUGAGGAGCGAAAGCCAGGGGAGCAAACGGG
RNAcentral lists this ribosomal RNA (253 nucleotides) under uncultured bacterium. RNAcentral describes it as "partial 16S ribosomal RNA". It matches the Rfam family "Bacterial small subunit ribosomal RNA", at positions 524 to 776 of the family's 1533-position model. The record is from RNAcentral.